CCUACGGGAGGCAGCAGUGAGGAAUAUUGGUCAAUGGGCGCAAGCCUGAACCAGCCAUGCCGCGUGCAGGAAGAAGGUCCUAUGGAUUGUAAACUGCUUUUAUUUGGGAAUAAACCUCUGGUCGUGCACCGGAGCUGAAGGUACCAAAUGAAUAAGCACCGGCUAACUCCGUGCCAGCAGCCGCGGUAAUACGGAGGGUGCAAGCGUUAUCCGGAAUCAUUGGGUUUAAAGGGUCCGCAGGCGGACUUAUAAGUCAGUGGUGAAAGCCUACAGCUUAACUGUAGAACUGCCAUUGAUACUGUAAGUCUUGAAUUCGGUCGAAGUGGGCGGAAUGUGUAGUGUAGCGGUGAAAUGCUUAGAUAUUACACAGAACACCGAUAGCGAAGGCAGCUCGCUAGGCCUGGAUUGACGCUCAGGGACGAAAGCGUGGGGAUCAAACAGGAUUAGAUACCCUGGUAGUCCACGCCGUAAACUAUGAUUACUCGUUUUCGGCGAUAUACUGUCGGAGACUAAGCGAAAGUGAUAAGUAAUCCACCUGGGGAGUACGAUCGCAAGGUCGAAACUCAAAGGAAUUGACGG
RNAcentral lists this ribosomal RNA (579 nucleotides) under uncultured bacterium. Its description in RNAcentral is "bacterial SSU rRNA". It matches the Rfam family "Bacterial small subunit ribosomal RNA", at positions 338 to 916 of the family's 1533-position model. The record is from RNAcentral.